GCUGAAACAUCAGUUCUCAUACAAUCCCCAAAGUAAAGCAACAUCAAGCUUGGUCAGUACCUAGAUGGGUGACUACUUGGGAAUACUAGGUGCUGUAAG
This is a non-coding RNA of Acanthosepion pharaonis, 99 nucleotides long. NCBI's taxonomy places the organism in Eukaryota, Metazoa, Mollusca, Cephalopoda, Sepiida, Sepiidae. The record is from the annotation of a GenBank genome assembly.